AGUGCGGUCGCAAGAUUAAAACUCAAAGGAAUAGACGGGGACCCGCACAAGUGGUGGAGCAUGUGGUUUAAUUCGAAGAUACGCGAAGAACCUUACCUAGCCUUGACAUUGAUUGAAUACCCUAGAGAUAGAGUAGUGCCCUUCGGGGAACAUGAAAACAGGUGCUGCACGGCUGUCGUCAGCUCGUGUCGUGAGAUGUUGGGUUAAGUCCCGCAACGAGCGCAACCCUCGUCCUUAGUUGCCAGCAGGUUAAGCUGGGCACUCUAAGGAGACUGCCUUCGCAAGGAGGAGGAAGGUGAGGACGACGUCAAGUCAUCAUGGCCCUUAUGGCUAGGGCUACACACGUGCUACAAUGGGGCGUACAGAGAGUUGCGAUACCGCGAGGUGGAGCCAAUCUCAUAAAGCGUCUCUCAGUUCGGAUUGGGAGUCUGCGACUCGACUCCAUGAAGCUGGAAUCACUAGUAAUCGUAGAUCAGCAAUGCGUACGGUGGAUACGUUCCCGGGUCUUGCACACACCGCCC
RNAcentral lists this ribosomal RNA (521 nucleotides) under uncultured Sulfurimonas sp. RNAcentral describes it as "bacterial SSU rRNA". It matches the Rfam family "Bacterial small subunit ribosomal RNA", at positions 879 to 1395 of the family's 1533-position model. The record is from RNAcentral. Lineage: Bacteria; Pseudomonadati; Campylobacterota; Epsilonproteobacteria; Campylobacterales; Sulfurimonadaceae.